AGCGGCGGACGGGUGAGUAACACGUGGAUAACCUACCUAUAAGACUGGGAUAACUUCGGGAAACCGGAGCUAAUACCGGAUAACAUAUUGAACCGCAUGGUUCAAUAGUGAAAGGCGGCUUUGCUGUCACUUAUAGAUGGAUCCGCGCCGUAUUAGCUAGUUGGUAAGGUAACGGCUUACCAAGGCAACGAUACGUAGCCGACCUGAGAGGGUGAUCGGCCACACUGGAACUGAGACACGGUCCAGACUCCUACGGGAGGCAGCAGUAGGGAAUCUUCCGCAAUGGGCGAAAGCCUGACGGAGCAACGCCGCGUGAGUGAUGAAGGUCUUCGGAUCGUAAAACUCUGUUAUCAGGGAAGAACAAAUGUGUAAGUAACUGUGCACAUCUUGACGGUACCUGAUCAGAAAGCCACGGCUAACUACGUGCCAGCAGCCGCGGUAAUACGUAGGUGGCAAGCGUUAUCCGGAAUUAUUGGGCGUAAAGCGCGCGUAGGCGGUUUUUUAAGUCUGAUGUGAAAGCCCACGGCUCAACCGUGGAGGGUCAUUGGAAACUGGAAAACUUGAGUGCAGAAGAGGAAAGUGGAAUUCCAUGUGUAGCGGUGAAAUGCGCAGAGAUAUGGAGGAACACCAGUGGCGAAAGGCGACUUUCUGGUCUGUAACUGACGCUGAUGUGCGAAAGCGUGGGGAUCAAACAGGAUUAGAUACCCUGGUAGUCCACGCCGUAAACGAUGAGUGCUAAGUGUUAGGGGGUUUCCGCCCCUUAGUGCUGCAGCUAACGCAUUAAGCACUCCGCCUGGGGAGUACGACCGCAAGGUUGAAACUCAAAGGAAUUGACGGGGACCCGCACAAGCGGUGGAGCAUGUGGUUUAAUUCGAAGCAACGCGAAGAACCUUACCAAAUCUUGACAUCCUUUGACCGCUCUAGAGAUAGAGUCUUCCCCUUCGGGGGACAAAGUGACAGGUGGUGCAUGGUUGUCGUCAGCUCGUGUCGUGAGAUGUUGGGUUAAGUCCCGCAACGAGCGCAACCCUUAAGCUUAGUUGCCAUCAUUAAGUUGGGCACUCUAAGUUGACUGCCGGUGACAAACCGGAGGAAGGUGGGGAUGACGUCAAAUCAUCAUGCCCCUUAUGAUUUGGGCUACACACGUGCUACAAUGGACAAUACAAAGGGCAGCUAAACCGCGAGGUCAAGCAAAUCCCAUAAAGUUGUUCUCAGUUCGGAUUGUAGUCUGCAACUCGACUACAUGAAGCUGGAAUCGCUAGUAAUCGUAGAUCAGCAUGCUACGGUGAAUACGUUCCCGGGUCUUGUACACACCGCCCGUCA
This 1320-nucleotide ribosomal RNA is filed under the name Staphylococcus sp. sen1068. RNAcentral's name for it is "bacterial SSU rRNA". It matches the Rfam family "Bacterial small subunit ribosomal RNA", at positions 94 to 1399 of the family's 1533-position model. The record is from RNAcentral. Lineage: Bacteria; Bacillati; Bacillota; Bacilli; Caryophanales; Staphylococcaceae.